CCGGCCCCCUGCCCCCAGAAUUUAUAAGAUUUUUUAAACAGCUCAGGAUGAACGCUGGCGGCGUGCCUAAUACAUGCAAGUCGAGCGAACGGACGAGAAGCUUGCUUCUCUGAUGUUAGCGGCGGACGGGUGAGUAACACGUGGAUAACCUACCUAUAAGACUGGGAUAACUUCGGGAAACCGGAGCUAAUACCGGAUAAUAUUUUGAACCGCAUGGUUCAAAAGUGAAAGACGGUCUUGCUGUCACUUAUAGAUGGAUCCGCGCUGCAUUAGCUAGUUGGUAAGGUAACGGCUUACCAAGGCAACGAUGCAUAGCCGACCUGAGAGGGUGAUCGGCCACACUGGAACUGAGACACGGUCCAGACUCCUACGGGAGGCAGCAGUAGGGAAUCUUCCGCAAUGGGCGAAAGCCUGACGGAGCAACGCCGCGUGAGUGAUGAAGGUCUUCGGAUCGUAAAACUCUGUUAUUAGGGAAGAACAUAUGUGUAAGUAACUGUGCACAUCUUGACGGUACCUAAUCAGAAAGCCACGGCUAACUACGUGCCAGCAGCCGCGGUAAUACGUAGGUGGCAAGCGUUAUCCGGAAUUAUUGGGCGUAAAGCGCGCGUAGGCGGUUUUUUAAGUCUGAUGUGAAAGCCCACGGCUCAACCGUGGAGGGUCAUUGGAAACUGGAAAACUUGAGUGCAGAAGAGGAAAGUGGAAUUCCAUGUGUAGCGGUGAAAUGCGCAGAGAUAUGGAGGAACACCAGUGGCGAAGGCGACUUUCUGGUCUGUAACUGACGCUGAUGGCGAAAAGAACGCCC
RNAcentral lists this ribosomal RNA (802 nucleotides) under Staphylococcus aureus. RNAcentral describes it as "bacterial SSU rRNA". It matches the Rfam family "Bacterial small subunit ribosomal RNA", at positions 1 to 767 of the family's 1533-position model. Lineage: Bacteria; Bacillati; Bacillota; Bacilli; Caryophanales; Staphylococcaceae. The record is from RNAcentral.